AACGAACGCUGGCGGCAUGCCUAACACAUGCAAGUCGAACGAGACCUUCGGGUCUAGUGGCGAACGGGUGCGUAACGCGUUGGAACCUGCCCUUAGGUUCGGAAUAACUCCCCGAAAGGGGUGCUAAUACCGGAUAAUGUCUUCGGACCAAAGAUUUAUCACCUUUGGAUGGGCCCGCGUUGGAUUAGCUAGUUGGUAGGGUAAAAGCCUACCAAGGCGACGAUCCAUAGCUGGUCUGAGAGGAUGAUCAGCCACACUGGGACUGAGACACGGCCCAGACUCAUACGGGAGGCAGCAGUGGGGAAUAUUGGACAAUGGGCGAAAGCCUGAUCCAGCAAUGCCGCGUGAGUGAUGAAGGCCUUAGGGUUGUAAAGCUCUUUUACCCGGGAUGAUAAUGACAGUACCGGGAGAAUAAGCACCGGCUAACUCCGUG
This 433-nucleotide ribosomal RNA is filed under the name uncultured bacterium. RNAcentral's name for it is "partial 16S ribosomal RNA". It matches the Rfam family "Bacterial small subunit ribosomal RNA", at positions 29 to 507 of the family's 1533-position model. The record is from RNAcentral.